This 112-nucleotide ribosomal RNA is filed under the name Salmonella enterica subsp. enterica serovar Infantis. RNAcentral also lists the same sequence under 4 other names. The record is from RNAcentral. Lineage: Bacteria; Pseudomonadati; Pseudomonadota; Gammaproteobacteria; Enterobacterales; Enterobacteriaceae.
CCUGGCGGCACUAGCGCGGUGGUCCCACCUGACCCCAUGCCGAACUCAGAAGUGAAACGCCGUAGCGCCGAUGGUAGUGUGGGGUCUCCCCAUGCGAGAGUAGGGAACUGCC